AUGUUCAAUCCCACGGAUCAGGAGCUGAUCAAGCACCUUGAGGCCAAAGUGAGUGCUGACAGCGCGAGAUCUCACCCUCUCAUCGAUUUGUUCAUACCAACCAUCGACAGCGAGCAUGGCAUAUGCUACACCCAUCCUGAGAAACUUCCAGGUAUCACACUGAGUGGCCUAAGCAAGCAUUUCUUCCAGCGCAAUUCCAGGGCAUUCAAAAGGGGCACGUGGGCGCAUCGCAAGAUACAGUCGGAGUGCGGCAUGCACGCGAUGUGGCACAACACCGGCAAUACCUUGUCGGUGAUGGUCAACGGCCGGCAGACGGGCAGCAAAAAGGUUUUGGUGCUGCACACCAACAAGAACUUUGACCAGCAGAGGACCAACUGGGUGAUGCACCAGUACCACCUCGGGGACCUGGAGCAAGAGAAGGAGAGGGAGCUGGCCCAGCCCAUGACGACAACGGGGCACAAAGAUCCAGCAAGUAUCUACUGGCCUCUGGCCCGCCAGCGUUAG
RNAcentral lists this ribosomal RNA (504 nucleotides) under Triticum aestivum (bread wheat). RNAcentral describes it as "partial small subunit ribosomal RNA". The record is from RNAcentral. Lineage: Eukaryota; Viridiplantae; Streptophyta; Magnoliopsida; Poales; Poaceae.